UCAGCAGCCGCGGUAAUACGGAGGAUCCAAGCGUUAUCCGGAAUCAUUGGGUUUAAAGGGUCCGUASGCGGCCUUAUAAGUCAGUGGUGAAAUCUCCUAGCUCAACUAGGAAACUGCCAUUGAUACUGUAGGGCUUGAAUUUUUAGGAAGUAACUAGAAUAUGUAGUGUAGCGGUGAAAUGCUUAGAUAUUACAUGGAAUACCAAUUGCGAAGGCAGGUUACUACUAAUGGAUUGACGCUGAUGGACGAAAGCGUGGGUAGCGAACAGGAUUAGAUACCCUGGUAGUCCACGCCGUAAACGAUGGAUACUAGCUGUUCGGUCUUCGGACUGAGUGGCUAAGCGAAAGUGAUAAGUAUCCCACCUGGGGAGUACGCACGCAAGUGUGAAACUCAAAGGAGUUGACG
Molecule: ribosomal RNA, 405 nt
Filed under: uncultured bacterium
Lineage: Bacteria
Description: bacterial SSU rRNA
Rfam family: Bacterial small subunit ribosomal RNA
Source: RNAcentral